AGAGAUAGUGUGUUGAGAAACCUGCAAAGCACAACACCAUUAAACUCAUUUCUUUGGAUUGCAAAAGGGGGCUUGGCCCCAAAACUAAAAGAUACAAAAUCAUGAAUAAGUAACACUGCUCAUAUCAUGGAGAAGCCACAUGAGAAGACCAUUGGGAGGGGCCUUGAAAAAUUAUAAAAUUUCACAAAGCAUACAAACCCUAAUUUAU
RNAcentral lists this unclassified non-coding RNA (208 nucleotides) under Hevea brasiliensis (rubber tree). The record is from RNAcentral. Lineage: Eukaryota; Viridiplantae; Streptophyta; Magnoliopsida; Malpighiales; Euphorbiaceae.